This is a non-coding RNA of Chlorocebus sabaeus (green monkey), 1261 nucleotides long. Lineage: Eukaryota; Metazoa; Chordata; Mammalia; Primates; Cercopithecidae. The record is from RefSeq and is a predicted model, not a curated record.
GUCGGGGAGGGGGUUCAAGGUGUGGCCGCGAGGGCGAGCGUGGGGGAUUGGGUAUGAGCUCUCGAGGGCGGGGACUCUGCUCUGUGUCCCCUGAGGAGGUCCAGCCUUGUUAUAGAUGGAUACCUGUGACCAAGCAUUGCAAGUUAAAGAUAUUUCUGAAUCUUGGACCUCUUAGUUCCUGUGAAGCCCACCAAUGCAUAAUAAAGCAGAGAGGAAUGUAAAAGGUUGCUGCAUCGAUAAUCAACUUCUGGUGAGCAGUAAUUACAGGUACUGUAAAAUGAGACAAUUAUUGCUUUUCAUCAUAUCUUGAACGAACUCCUACAGUCGAUGAUUUUGAACAAAACACCUAAGUUCACUCUCCUCUUUUCUAUAAUGAAAAGACAUUAUCCAGUAGAAGUUCAAGAGUAAAAUCUGAAGGCAACUUAUCUGACCUGGCCACAUGGCCUUGCCACUUAUUCAACAUAACUUUCUACACACUAACCUCUCCAGACCUCAGAUCUUCAACUCUCUAAAAUGGAAACAUAGUGGUAUUUACCUCUAGAACUGCAGCUGAACUGAGCAUUUUAGGGAAGGAACAAACACACACAUGAUAGAUAUAGUCAGAUUAUGAACCCAGUGUAGCCCAGAAUACAGAAAUUUCUCAGUAAUAGAGAUCCUCAAGAGAAGAAUCAGAUGUAGCCUAUCUCAGUGGCCUUUCAUGUGGCAAAUGAAAAGUGAAAGUCCAUAAUGAGAAAGACAUGGGCAGCCAGUGACACCAUCCAUUCAAUGUAGACUCUCAACAUACCUGACAGUCGUUACCUGUUAUACCCCAAGCCAAAACAUACAUAAACCUCAAGCCUCAGUCAGAAAUAUUUAUGGACAACCAGGUAUAUUAUUCUGUGUUUCCAGUCAAAACUCAGGUAGACCACAUUUUACGUGACAGGAGAAGGCACAGUUGAUGCCCAGUUAACCCUGAGAUCAUCUCUGCCUGCAGCUUCCUAUCAUCACAGCAAGCUCUUUCCCUGCAGUGCAUUGUCUGUAUCUGCCCUUUGCUAUAUAAGUAGCAAAAAUAAGCAUCUGAAAAGAUGCUCAACUAGGGAAUUCACUGUGUCACUAGGGAAUUCAAAAUUCAAAAAUUCACAUUCAAUAUGUCACUAGGGAAUUCAAAUUAAAACAACGAUGAGACACCGCUACACAUCUAUUAGAUUGGCUCAAAUCCAAACACUGACACCACCAAAUGCUGGUGAGGAUAUGGAGCAACAGGAACUCUCGUUGAUUGCUG